RNAcentral lists this long non-coding RNA (233 nucleotides) under Nicotiana benthamiana. RNAcentral's name for it is "long non-coding RNA (NBEN_LNC035915)". The record is from RNAcentral. Lineage: Eukaryota; Viridiplantae; Streptophyta; Magnoliopsida; Solanales; Solanaceae.
GACCACCCCGCUCCUAUCCGAUGGGUGACGUCCCCGUCAAUCUCUCCGUCCCCCUGAAUCACCGACCCAAGAUAUCUCACACUGUCCUUCUUGGCGAUGGCCUGAGAACCAAGCAUCACUUCUCCGCCUAACCCAUUCGGCUCGGCGCCAAAUUUGCACUCCAGAUAUUCUGUCUUAGACCUGCUUAUUUUGAAACCCUUAGACUCGAGGGUCUGUCUCCAUAUCUCUAAUCU